This 374-nucleotide ribosomal RNA is filed under the name uncultured bacterium. Its description in RNAcentral is "bacterial SSU rRNA". It matches the Rfam family "Bacterial small subunit ribosomal RNA", at positions 524 to 898 of the family's 1533-position model. The record is from RNAcentral.
UACAGAGGGAGCAAGCGUUAUCCGGAAUGAUUGGGCGUAAAGCGUCUGUAGGUGGUUCUUUAAGUCUACUGUCAAAUACGUCUGGCUCAACCAACGGCAGGCAGUAGAGUACUAGAGGACUAGAGUGCGGUAGAGGGAGAGGGAAUCCCUAGCGUAACAGUGAAAUGUGUAGAUUUUAGGGAGAACACCAGCGGCGAAGGCGCUCUACUGGGCCGAGACUGACACUGAGAGACGAAAGCUAGAGGAGCGAAUAGGAUUAGAUACCCUACUAGUUCUAGCUGUAAACGAUGGAAACUAAGGGGUGCCCCCAAAGGGGCUCCUCUGUAGCUAACGCGUUAAGUUUCCCGCCUGGGGAGUAUGCUCGCAAGAGUGAA